UACCUUGUUACAGCUUUUAAGGAAAAAUAAAUCAACUGUAUAACCAAUUUACGGAAUAAUGAUUAAAUCUAGUUAAAAAUAAUCACCAUCUUUGAUUAUCCAAGGCAACUAUAUCAACAGAAAAAAAACACUAAACACAAAGUCGCCAUUUCUCUCUUUCAUAACCACUUAUAGCCAAGUGCCAUUUUGAUGAUCUAUUUUGAUUUUGUUAUCAGCUUUUACAUUUUUUUUGCUGUUACCAGAAAAAAUUAAAAUGUCUAUCAAUCGACCAACACUUUCUUUUUUUGCCGUUCUUCUACUGAAUACUUAUUUAUCAUCAAAUAAUCAACAUGAAGUGAUUUAAGGAUUCAUGGUUUGCUAAACAGAAUGAUAAACCUGAUUGGUUACACAUUCACACAACAAUCCGCUAUUAAAGGGAGUAAACAAGGUUACUGUUAAUCUAGGAACCAGUGCCAGUUACUAUUUUUGAGAUUUUUUUCUGUUCCUGGAUUCUGCCUAAACCACAAUUUAAUGUGUCAAGCUGAUGUAAUGUUUAUUAAACAUUGAUCAAGAGUGAUUCAAAAUAUGCUCCAGAAGUUUAUUUAAUAUGGAUAAAAUGGUUACUUAAUGGUUUGAUGUUGCUUAUGCAAAGAAAAGGAGAAACAAGACGUGAACAAUAAUCACGUGACGGUUUAUUAAUUAAUCCAAUAGAGAUCGAGGUUAAACACAACGGAGUUAUACUUAUUUCCAUUGUAAUUGAAUCAACUUUGCGUUUUUUUCAUCAAUCACCAGUAGCAUCCAGCCUCACGAUCAUUAUCAUCUUCUCACUUUCUUUCCUCUUCAUGAGAAUUGGAUCGUUGCAACAGCUCGUUUCAUCUUAUUUUUACGUUAUACCAAAUGACAUUCUAACUUAAUUUGAAUCAUUUAAUCAUCAUUUGUGACUGAUUUGAAACAAAAACAAGGAAAAGCUCUUUUUUGUUUACUACUGUGCCAUUGCCAUCUCAAUAUUACCACCAACAUCAUCCAGCACUACCAACGAUAUUAUCAAGAGCUUCACUAACAUAGAAAAUUAAAAUGUGAUCAACAUCUGAACAAGUUUGUUUUCAACACUUAUGUAUGUUUCCAGUGUUAACAGAAUAUUCAGUGUUGUUUUUCACCUAAAAUAAUGAUCAACUGAACAAAAGGAGAGCAAAUUUGUAUACAAUCAACUUUCAUGUUCAUCAUUGAAUUUAAAAUUUACGCGACCAACGUACUUCUAUGCAUCUCAGCUUUUGACUGAAUUUAUUUUUCCUUUUUUUCUUUUUGUUAUUCUUCCUGGUGUAGCCAUGUUUUCCUAUUACGCUUUAGAAACGUGGUUAUUCUCAUUUUUCGCUCUCCUAUUGUUAGGAUUCAUCAUCUACUACACUCGUCGGUUAAUAACUAUAAUUGCUGAUAUAAGAGAAUCAAAAAAAGUCUCCUACAAACCAUGGGAAAUGGAGAGUAAGUUGGGUGUUAAAUCAUCAAUCUUCACAAUCUUUGGUCGAAACAAACAGACGACAACAUUUUGAUUGCAAUCAGAAUCACCCUCACAAUAGACGAUAAUAAAAUCUUUCUAAAGCUAAAGCUAAAGCUAAAUCUAAACCCAAAGUCAAAGUAGGCAGAUUAUUUGGACCAAUUAGAAGUCUCAUGCCUGUUAAAGAAGCUGCAAUUACUUCAAAAAAACACAAUAAAACAAAAGCUGAUCCACGAAUUGAUGCCGUUGAUGGGCAAAUCUCUUAUAUUGAUGCUAACAUCAAUCGUUAUCCAUCCAUUUCUUCAUUUAUGAGCGAUGAAACGGCAACAACUAAUUCAGAUUUUUAUAGGGACCGCCGAUUAUCUGUUCUUGAAGACAUUGAAUCUUGGGUAAUCAAAGGUCAUGUCGAUCAAAACCAAAAUGUAGUCAAAAAUAAUAUCAAUAGUCACAUAAGUGCUGCUGCAGUUGAAAAUUUAUCCGCUAAUCUGCCAAAGGUUGAUCAAAGGAAUAAAGAUGUUAAUAAAAGUAUAGAUAAUGAAACUGAAGUAAAGACUAUCAAAAAAGGUCAUCCUGGAGUAAUCUUGGUCACUCCCGAAAUCAAUGGUAUUCCUCUGACUAAUGGUCAUCAUAAUGGUUACCGAAGUUCAGCCAAAGACGAAAUUGAAAUGGUUAGUAAAGUGAUUCCAGUUUUAGACGAAUCGUUUACAAGUUCAUCCACAACAAUUGAAGGCAACAACAGAUCAACAAUUACCAAAACCACAAGUAAAAAGGUUACCGUUACCGAGGUUUCAAAAAGAAAAGAGAACAGAAUUGCUGCUGUAUGAAAUUUGGUGUUCAUCUACAAAUCUCUACAAUGAAUAUUAAUGGGGCAAGAUCAAUUAUCUACCUUAAUUAUUACCAAUUCAAGUUUCGGUUGAUAACAACGGAGUGCCUGGUAACUACCCUUUGAACAAAUGUUUAAAAUUUUGUGCCAAGUUCCAUAAAUCUAAUCACAAACAACUGGAGCAACCUACCUGAUGGAUUGGAUAAAAAAGGCUUGAUCAAACAGCAAAUCACAUUAACAAUUUGAUAAGCAUAAUUAGUUUUAAUUGACCAUAGAGCCGGUGAUGUUACUCUGAAUGAUUCAUAAAACUGGUUUCCUGCUGCAUUAGUUUAUACACCCAUCCACAUUCAUUCUUCACAUUCAUUCUCAGAAUUUUCGAUUUUUUUUGUACAAUUCUUGAUAUUUAUAAUUGUGAUCUUUACCAGCAACUUAAUUACAUCAGUCAAUUAUUCAACAUUCAACAAUAUAACAUGUGUGUAUCACACUCAUUGAGGGGACCAAACACAGAAUGACAUAUUUUCAACGCUGUACCUCACAAAACACUAGUUUUUAAUGGCGUGCCGUUUUUCCUAAACAAUCUUCUAUUCGAAGUUCAAUCCCAAAGUUAUAGUAUGCACUGAAAAUCUAUACCAAUCAUAACCCAAAUUAACCAAAUGACUAAAUGAUUGUAACAAUCGACUAUGCAACCAAUAAAUGAAUGUAUAUUACAACCAAUAUAUUGCCAUCUAGCGGACUUGUUUCACAGCUCGAUGUACAUUUAACCCAAAUUGAAUAAUUAAAUUGUAAAUUAUUUUCAAUCGA
Non-coding RNA from Tetranychus urticae (two-spotted spider mite), 3095 nucleotides. The record is from RefSeq and is a predicted model, not a curated record. Lineage: Eukaryota; Metazoa; Arthropoda; Arachnida; Trombidiformes; Tetranychidae.